RNAcentral lists this ribosomal RNA (468 nucleotides) under uncultured bacterium. RNAcentral describes it as "partial 16S ribosomal RNA". It matches the Rfam family "Bacterial small subunit ribosomal RNA", at positions 28 to 507 of the family's 1533-position model. The record is from RNAcentral.
GACGAACGCUGGCGGCGUGCUUAACACAUGCAAGUCGAACGGAAAGGCCCUGCUUUUGUGGGGUGCUCGAGUGGCGAACGGGUGAGUAACACGUGAGUAACCUGCCCUUGACUUUGGGAUAACUUCAGGAAACUGGGGCUAAUACCGGAUAGGAGCUCCUGCUGCAUGGUGGGGGUUGGAAGGUUUCGGCGGUUGGGGAUGGACUCGCGGCUUAUCAGCUUGUUGGUGGGGUAGUGGCUUACCAAGGCUUUGACGGGUAGCCGGCCUGAGAGGGUGACCGGCCACAUUGGGCCUGAGAUACGGCCCAGACUCCUACGGGAGGCAGCAGUGGGGAAUAUUGCACAAUGGGCGGAAGCCUGAUGCAGCGACGCCGCGUGCGGGAUGACGGCCUUCGGGUUGUAAACCGCUUUCGCCUGUGACGAAGCGUGAGUGACGGUAAUGGGUAAAGAAGCACCGGCUAACUACGUG